Long non-coding RNA from Triticum aestivum (bread wheat), 718 nucleotides. RefSeq lists it as uncharacterized. NCBI's taxonomy places the organism in Eukaryota, Viridiplantae, Streptophyta, Magnoliopsida, Poales, Poaceae. The transcript is spliced from 3 exons. The record is from RefSeq and is a predicted model, not a curated record.
UAUAUUUCGUCUGGUUUAUUUUCGUCCGGUUUAUUUUCGUCUCAUAUCCCACCACCAUAUCUCCUCACAUUGAUUUUUUUACCCUCACAAUAAAAACUUUCCUAACUUUUCCAAAGUUUCCUAACUAGACACGUUAUAAACGGGCAUGUACCGAUAGCACGUUAUCAAUUAAUAAAAUUUUGUUUUAUGACAAUCAAUUCCAAAUCCUAAUUUUCCUAAUGCAUCGAUCUUUGCCUUUUUUAAGUAGUUAUUUUGAUAGGGAGGGUUUAGCCACGAAAAUCAUCCCUCCAUCGUCGGCUGCAUCCCUCACCCACGUCGCUGUUGCAGGAUCUUCAUCCGUCAUCCUGAGCAAUUGGGGCGGCGAUGCGGGCGAGCUUCACGAUAGUGGGGAGGACCAGGCCGCGGUGAAGGCAGGUCAUGCGCUCCUCACGCUCCACGAACGGAACCUGCGCACGGAGGCGGUAGCGCGGGGUGGCAGCCGGCAAUGAGGCGGCCGCGCUACGUGACGAGCUACGGGUCCCCCUUUGUGAUGUUUUGGCAUCGCUCCUUCAUCGCACAUCCUCAGGCGAUGGCGGUGGUGUCGCUGAUGGCGGCGAGGACAGCAUGUGGCAGCUCCCGAAGCAUGAACACGACCGCACCUCGGGCCUGCCGUCUGCCAAGAUAUGGCUCUGGCCGAUUGACAAUGGAGGUUUGGGAUCCUUCCUCUCAGCACCCACUC